This 253-nucleotide ribosomal RNA is filed under the name uncultured bacterium. RNAcentral's name for it is "partial 16S ribosomal RNA". It matches the Rfam family "Bacterial small subunit ribosomal RNA", at positions 524 to 776 of the family's 1533-position model. The record is from RNAcentral.
UACGGAGGGGGCAAGCGUUAUUCGGAAUUAUUGGGCGUAAAGGGCGCGUAGGCGGCCUUGCAAGUGGAAGGUGAAAUCCCUCGGCUUAACCGAGGAACUGCCCUCCAAACUGCUUGGCUUGAGUCCGGGAGAGGUGAGUGGAAUUCCCAGUGUAGCGGUGAAAUGCGUAGAUAUCGGGAGGAACACCAGUGGCGAAGGCGGCUUCCUGGCCUGUUCUUGACGCUGAGGCGCGAAAGCUAGGGGAGCAAACGGG